AACGAACGCUGGCGGCAGGCCUAACACAUGCAAGUCGAACGGACGUAGCAAUACGUUAGUGGCGCACGGGAGAGUAACGCGUGGGAACCUACCUUUUGGUUCGGGAUAACAUCGGGAGACUGGUGCUAAUACCGGAUAAGCCCUUCGGGGGAAAGAUUUAUUGCCGAAAGAUGGGCCCGCGUUGGAUUAGCUAGUUGGUGAGGUAAUGGCUCACCAAGGCAACGAUCCAUAGCUGGUCUGAGAGGAUGAUCAACCUCACUGGGACUGAGACACGGCCCAGACUCCUACGGGAGGCAGCAGUGGGGAAUAUUGGACAAUGGGGGAAACCCUGAUCCAGCCAUGCCGCGUGAAUGAUGAAGGCCUUCGGGUUGUAAAGUUCUUUUGGUGGGGACGAUGAUGACGGUACCCACAGAAUAAGCUCCGGCUAACUUCGUGCCAGCAGCCGCCGCAG
RNAcentral lists this ribosomal RNA (451 nucleotides) under uncultured bacterium. RNAcentral's name for it is "partial 16S ribosomal RNA". It matches the Rfam family "Bacterial small subunit ribosomal RNA", at positions 29 to 523 of the family's 1533-position model. The record is from RNAcentral.